UUAAAAAAAAUGAACAAGGUUUCCGUAGGUGAACCUGCGGAAGGAUCAUUACCGAGUUGAUUCGAGCUCCGGCUCGACUCUCCCACCCAAUGUGUACCUACCUCUGUUGCUUUGGCGGGCCGCGGUCCUCCGCACCGGCGCCCUUCGGGGGGCUGGCCAGCGCCCGCCAGAGGACCAUAAAACUCCAGUCAGUGAACUUCGCAGUCUGAAAAACAAGUUAAUAAACUAAAACUUUCAACAACGGAUCUCUUGGUUCUGGCAUCGAUGAAGAACGCAGCGAAAUGCGAUAAGUAAUGUGAAUUGCAGAAUUCAGUGAAUCAUCGAAUCUUUGAACGCACAUUGCGCCCCUUGGUAUUCCGAGGGGCAUGCCUGUUCGAGCGUCAUUUCAACCCUCAAGCUCUGCUUGGUAUUGGGCCCCGUCCUCCACGGACGCGCCUUAAAGACCUCGGCGGUGGCGUCUUGCCUCAAGCGUAGUAGAAAACACCUCGCUUUGGAGCGCACGGCGUCGCCCGCCGGACGAACCUUUGAAUUAUUUCUCAAGGUUGACCUCGGAUCAGGGUCAGGGAUACCCGCUGAACUUAAGCAUAUCAUAGGGAAGAA
Molecule: ribosomal RNA, 600 nt
Filed under: Neofusicoccum parvum
Lineage: Eukaryota; Fungi; Ascomycota; Dothideomycetes; Botryosphaeriales; Botryosphaeriaceae
Description: eukaryotic LSU rRNA
Rfam family: 5.8S ribosomal RNA (bases 230-383)
Source: RNAcentral